GCACACUUCGGCAGCACAUACACUAAAAUUGAAACAAUACAGAGAAAAUGAGUAUGGUCCCUGUGCAACAAUAACACAAAAAUUUGUAAAGUGUUCUAUAUUUUA
Small nuclear RNA from Molossus molossus (Pallas's mastiff bat), 105 nucleotides. Lineage: Eukaryota; Metazoa; Chordata; Mammalia; Chiroptera; Molossidae. The record is from RefSeq and is a predicted model, not a curated record.